CUAGAGCGGUGGACAAACUGGCACUAACCUCAUGCCCUCCAACGACUAGCUCAAACGACUGGGGACUAGCUUAGCAGCUCAUCACAACAACCUUGGAAGCUCUUGUGCUGCUCCGUGAACUAUACUUGGCUUACUAACCUUGGCCUGCUCUCCAAUCAACGACUGGACUUGCUCAUGACCUUCACUACUUACUUACUAAUUACUUACUAGAAACGAGGUGGAGGAACAACGACUACUAUAUUAUAUAGCACUGGACCUGCUGCCUCUACUCAUCCACUAGAUGCUCGAGAAAAGCUUCCAUCAUAAGCUACUACUUGGAGUUGCGGAACUACUAGCUCUACUACUCGAUCAACUGCUUGAGCUACUACUAUAAUGAACUACCUGACCUUGAACUACUACUACCCGGACCAUGUACUUGUUGAAUUGAUACUCCAACCUGCCAGCUACUACUAGAGCUACUACUACUAUAAUGAACUACUAGGAGUUCCGAUCAACCCAACACCAACUACUGGCUACUACUAUACGACGAUCUACUACCCGAGUCUACUAUUAUAUAUUGAACAACUACGACUAAAUAUACUACUUAUUAAGAAAACAACUACUACUUACUUAUACGACCAGACUAACGAGGAAGAAUGGCUACUUACUACUACUACUAUUGGUGGAUGUGCUCUACAACUAGCUGGACUACGAACGAGAGAGCAAACCCCCGUCCUCGAUGUAAGUGCUGCUUCUCUAUGUAUAAUAAUAGUAGUACAACUGCAACCUGAUACUAUACUCCAGUCUGUGUGCUUGGUGUAGGUAGUAGUUCCACUAGUUUUCUCGUGCUUAGUAGCAGUAACUCUAGCAGGGUCUGUUGGCAUCCUUCAUUAACUUCCGUGGUGUAGUGUAUUCUUUAGUGGUGUAGUUGUUGUGUUUACUGGCUGGCGUGAUGAUGAUGUAUACUCCUAUUUAUUGGGCUUCAGGCUAGACUAGUCGUUGGUAAGAUGCUAAGCUACUAAUCUCUUCUUAGUCUUAUAAAGUGGAUGAAGGUGUAACUCAGUCCAUACCCACUACUACUAAAACUACUACUACUCCGAAUAACCUCUUCCCUUGACCUACCACCCUUCUCUUACAUACAGUACUACAACCCAAAACUUCAUUCGUUUC
Molecule: long non-coding RNA, 1149 nt
Filed under: Amborella trichopoda
Lineage: Eukaryota; Viridiplantae; Streptophyta; Magnoliopsida; Amborellales; Amborellaceae
Description: long non-coding RNA (ATRI_LNC000956)
Source: RNAcentral